This 768-nucleotide ribosomal RNA is filed under the name Vibrio parahaemolyticus. RNAcentral's name for it is "bacterial SSU rRNA". It matches the Rfam family "Bacterial small subunit ribosomal RNA", at positions 1 to 748 of the family's 1533-position model. The record is from RNAcentral. Lineage: Bacteria; Pseudomonadati; Pseudomonadota; Gammaproteobacteria; Vibrionales; Vibrionaceae.
AAAUUGAAGAGUUUGAUCAUGGCUCAGAUUGAACGCUGGCGGCAGGCCUAACACAUGCAAGUCGAGCGGAAACGAGUUAUCAGAACCUUCGGGGGACGAUAACGGCGUCGAGCGGCGGACGGGUGAGUAAUGCCUAGGAAAUUGCCCUGAUGUGGGGGAUAACCAUUGGAAACGAUGGCUAAUACCGCAUGAUGCCUACGGGCCAAAGAGGGGGACCUUCGGGCCUCUCGCGUCAGGAUAUGCCUAGGUGGGAUUAGCUAGUUGGUGAGGUAAGGGCUCACCAAGGCGACGAUCCCUAGCUGGUCUGAGAGGAUGAUCAGCCACACUGGAACUGAGACACGGUCCAGACUCCUACGGGAGGCAGCAGUGGGGAAUAUUGCACAAUGGGCGCAAGCCUGAUGCAGCCAUGCCGCGUGUAUGAAGAAGGCCUUCGGGUUGUAAAGUACUUUCAGUCGUGAGGAAGGCGGCGUCGUUAAUAGCGGCGUUGUUUGACGUUAGCGACAGAAGAAGCACCGGCUAACUCCGUGCCAGCAGCCGCGGUAAUACGGAGGGUGCGAGCGUUAAUCGGAAUUACUGGGCGUAAAGCGCAUGCAGGUGGUUUGUUAAGUCAGAUGUGAAAGCCCGGGGCUCAACCUCGGAAUUGCAUUUGAAACUGGCAGACUAGAGUACUGUAGAGGGGGGUAGAAUUUCAGGUGUAGCGGUGAAAUGCGUAGAGAUCUGAAGGAAUACCGGUGGCGAAGGCGGCCCCCUGGACAGAUACUGACACUC